This 403-nucleotide ribosomal RNA is filed under the name uncultured bacterium. Its description in RNAcentral is "partial 16S ribosomal RNA". It matches the Rfam family "Bacterial small subunit ribosomal RNA", at positions 30 to 526 of the family's 1533-position model. The record is from RNAcentral.
AUUGAACGCUGGCGGCGUGCCUAAUACAUGCAAGUCGAACGCACUGGGGACGGGUGAGUAACACGUGGGUAACCUCCCAUCAGAGGGGAUAACACUUUGAAACAGGUGCUAAACCGAUACUGAUGGAUGGACCCGCGGUGCAUUAGCUAGGUGGUGAGGUAACUGCUCACCAAGGCCACGAUGAAUAGCCGACCUGAGAGGGUGAUCGGCCACUCUGGAGCGGAGACACGGCCCAGACCCCUACGGGAGGCAGCAGUGGGGAAUCUUCGGCAAUGGAAGAAAGGCUGCGCUGGCAACGCCGAGUGAGUGAAGAAGGUUUUCGGAUCGUAAAGCUCUGUUGUUAGAGAAGCGGUAGCUAACCAGAAAGCCACGGCUAACUACGUGCCAGCCGCCGCGGUAAUUC